This 630-nucleotide ribosomal RNA is filed under the name Ligilactobacillus salivarius. RNAcentral's name for it is "bacterial SSU rRNA". It matches the Rfam family "Bacterial small subunit ribosomal RNA", at positions 66 to 677 of the family's 1533-position model. Lineage: Bacteria; Bacillati; Bacillota; Bacilli; Lactobacillales; Lactobacillaceae. The record is from RNAcentral.
UACACCGAAUGCUUGCAUUCACCGUAAGAAGUUGAGUGGCGGACGGGUGAGUAACACGUGGGUAACCUGCCUAAAAGAAGGGGAUAACACUUGGAAACAGGUGCUAAUACCGUAUAUCUCUAAGGAUCGCAUGAUCCUUAGAUGAAAGAUGGUUCUGCUAUCGCUUUUAGAUGGACCCGCGGCGUAUUAACUAGUUGGUGGGGUAACGGCCUACCAAGGUGAUGAUACGUAGCCGAACUGAGAGGUUGAUCGGCCACAUUGGGACUGAGACACGGCCCAAACUCCUACGGGAGGCAGCAGUAGGGAAUCUUCCACAAUGGACGCAAGUCUGAUGGAGCAACGCCGCGUGAGUGAAGAAGGUCUUCGGAUCGUAAAACUCUGUUGUUAGAGAAGAACACGAGUGAGAGUAACUGUUCAUUCGAUGACGGUAUCUAACCAGCAAGUCACGGCUAACUACGUGCCAGCAGCCGCGGUAAUACGUAGGUGGCAAGCGUUGUCCGGAUUUAUUGGGCGUAAAGGGAACGCAGGCGGUCUUUUAAGUCUGAUGUGAAAGCCUUCGGCUUAACCGGAGUAGUGCAUUGGAAACUGGAAGACUUGAGUGCAGAAGAGGAGAGUGGAACUCCAUGUGUA